This is a non-coding RNA of Callithrix jacchus (white-tufted-ear marmoset), 1834 nucleotides long. NCBI's taxonomy places the organism in Eukaryota, Metazoa, Chordata, Mammalia, Primates, Cebidae. The record is from RefSeq and is a predicted model, not a curated record.
CCUCUGGCCCCCAGGCUGCCACCCUCAAGUACCUCUAGAUAAAGGGUUCCAUUUCUCACAGGGGAAAACCUAAGACCCAGAGAUGAGUGGUAGGUAACAAGGCCUCUAGCCAUGAUUCCUUUCAGGAAUCAAUUCUUGUGGGAGACAAAGAUGAAAUUGGCUGGAUUUUCCGGGUUUUUCAUGGAGGGGCUCAUACCCUAAUAGACAUGGACCUAGCUUCAAAUCUCAGAUCUGGCCAUUUCCCAGCUAGAACCUGCAGAAUUCUUUAGCAUCUGGAAGCUGCUGUCUUUUUCUUUUCUUUUUUUUUAAGACGGGAUUUCACCAUAUUGGCCAGGCUGUUCUCAAACUCCUAACCUUGUGAUCCAUCUGCCUUGGCCUCCCAAACUGCUGGGAUUACAGGUGUGAGCCACCUUGCCUGGUCUGGAAGUUGUUUUCUCAUUUACAUAAUAUUGAGUUUUUUGUUCAGUCCAUCAUCAUCUGUUGAGCUCUUAUAAUAAGCCAAGUACUGAGCUGAGCAAUGAGGAUUCCGUGGUGAGCAAAACCAGGUAAGGAUUUGCACUCUUGGAAGGGAGGCAAAUGGUAAACAAAUAUUCACACAAGUAAAUGGAAGAGGCUGGGCGAGGGUACAACGGAGUAUGAUCUACCUGGGGGCCAGAGAAAGUUCCCUGAGGCAGUAGUACUUCAAUUUAGACUCCAAGGAUAAUAGGUUUUAAGUAACUGGGAGGAGAGAAUGUUCCAGGCAGAGGAGCACAGCUGAGGUGCCUGGAGUGAGGUGCAGCUGGAAAGGUUGGUGGGGCCAGACCAGGCAGGGCGGUGAAAGCCACCGAAAGGGAUUUCCAAGAGUGAUGAGGGAAUCUUGGAAUCCUGUUGGGCGUCCCCAAGAGGUAACUGUGGCUGGAUACACAGCUCAGGCCUGUAAGCCCAACACUGUGGGAAGCCGAAGCGGAAGGAUCAUUUGAGCUCAGGAGCUCAAGACCAGCCUGGGUAACAUAAUACCUCAUCGGCCAGGCGUGGUGGCUCACGCCUGUAAUCCCAGCACUUUGGGAGACUGAGGUGGGAGGAUCACAAGGUCAAGAGAUCAAGACCAUCUUGGCAAACAUGGUGAAACCCCGUCUCUACUAAAAAAAUACAAAAAUUGGCUGGGUGUGAUUGCACGCACCUGUAGUCCCAGCUACUUGGGAAGCUGAGGCAGGAGACUCGCUUAAACCCGGGAGGUGGAGGUUGCAGUGAGCCGGGAUUGUGCCACUGCACUCCAGCCUGGCAACAGAGUGAGACUCUGUCUCAAAAAAACAACAACAAACAAACAAACAAACAAAAAGCCUUAUCGAUACUAAAAAUAGAAUGAAAAAGAAAAAAGAGACAAUUUAAAGAGGAAUCUUGCUUUUCAAUCCGACAUCUGCGGUGGAGCUGCCACCAAAAUGCAGAUUUUCGUGAAAACCCUUAUGAGGAAGACCAUCACCCUCGAGUUUGAACCCUCGGAUACAACAGAAAAUGUAAAGGCCAAGAUCCAGGAUAAGGAAGGGAUUCCUCCUGAUCAGCAAAGACUGAACUUUCUCUGACUACAACAUUCACGAGGAGUCUACUCCUCAUCUUGUGUUGAGACUUAGUGGUGGUGCUAUACGAAAAGGAGUAAGUCUUACACCUCUCCCAAGAAGAAUAAGCAUGAGAGAAAGAAGGUUCAGCUGGCUGUCCUGAAAUAUUAUGAGGUGGAUGACAAUGCCAAAUUAGUCGCCUUGAUCAAGAGUGCCCUUCUGAUCAAUGUGGUGCUGGAGUGUUUAUGGUAAGCCACUUUGACUGACAUUAUUGUGGCAAAUGUUGUCUUACUGCUUCAACA